Metopolophium dirhodum (rose-grain aphid) is the source of this 910-nucleotide long non-coding RNA. RefSeq lists it as uncharacterized. The record is from RefSeq and is a predicted model, not a curated record. The transcript is spliced from 3 exons. Lineage: Eukaryota; Metazoa; Arthropoda; Insecta; Hemiptera; Aphididae.
AUAAGUCAAAAUAUUUGGAAAAUGUUAUGGUGUAUAGAAAAUGCUAAUAUAAGCAUUCAGUCAACAUUUAAUGUACCUACGGUCAUUUGUUUUAGAGUUGCACCAAAAACCAAAAUCGAUUUUCUCGAAAACGGACUUUGCGUAUUAGAAUGUCUAUAAACUUGCGGACCAGUUUGUAUAGUUAAAUUUGGCAUUCGAACUAUAAUUGAAGUAGAAAACCAGAAUAGGUGCAUUGCAGAUCACAAAGAUUUCUGUAAAAAAACAUACGAUUUAUAAAUAUACCGUAUAGGUAUACUGAGUAUUUAUAUAAUAAUAUAUAAGUUCUUUGGAUUUAUCUGAGUAAAUAAUAUAUUUUAUAAUAUCUAUGGCAAUCGUCAAUUGUUGAAAUUCGUCGGCGACGGUUAACAAUUCUAAUAAUUUCAGCAAUACUAUUGUAUUAUAAAUAUAAUAUAUUGUAUAUUUUGAUUUCAGUGAAUAAAAAAAUAAUAGGCCACAAAUAUAAACGGAUAGUUCGUUAAACCGGAUAAGUUGUAACACAAACUCGCAAAUUUCGUUUGAUCAGGUUAUUUUCAUAAAAUAUUUCGAUACUUUCAAGUUUCAGCUCAUCGGAGUGAGAUGAUUAGAUGAAAAUGGAUGAAGAUAGCUGUUUCUUCGGCGAUGGCGGCACUCUAGCUACAUUUCACCGGAAGAGUAGAUGUUUACGAUUCUGGCUGUAUUCUGGAGCGUUUCCUCAUGGGCGUCGCAGUUCACACACGUCACGGAUUCCACCGAAGGAAUCGAUAAUUAAAACUGAACUUUUGGAUCGGAGAUAUGAAGACGCGCGCUGCAUUUUCCUUGGCGGAGACGCACAGCUUUGACACUAGACAAUAUUAUACACUCAAAGGGAACGCGUUUCGCCGGAAGAAUAAAU